Microcebus murinus (gray mouse lemur) is the source of this 1401-nucleotide non-coding RNA. The record is from RefSeq and is a predicted model, not a curated record. NCBI's taxonomy places the organism in Eukaryota, Metazoa, Chordata, Mammalia, Primates, Cheirogaleidae.
GUGCGGCCGCCGGCAGCGGAGCAGAAGCGACUUCCCCAGUUGCUCUAUUUUAAGCUACCCAGUCUUCUAACAGGUUUGGCAGGAACUGAAGCGUGGGCUGAGGAGUGAGGAGGGAUAACACAGUCUCUAGGGCCUUGUUUUGGUAACUGUGCGCUUCCCGAUUGCUCGGUGCGUGCCAGCUCCCACCGUGAGUGCUCCGCAAGUGCCCUUCCACGGAAUCCUCCUCGCAACUCUGGGCGCAGGGAUGAUUAUCCUCAUUUCUUUUCUUUUUUUUUUUUUUUUUUAAACAAGGGGUAAAGUAAAGGUUAAGAGGCGUGGAAGCCUGCCCAAAGUCAGAGGACUAAAUGCAGAAGCGGGGACAGAAAUGAGAUUGGUCUGAUCCCACAAUAAGUCCUUCAGCUUCACAGUCCAGCUGCCUGUGGCCUCUCUCUGCGGGGAAGUAAUUCAAGGAGCAUUUGUUGAGGCCACAACACGCCCAGCCCGGUGCUUUCCGGGGCGCUGUGGAGCGCACAACAGGGACGCACGUGGCCCUGUUAUCCGCGGGUCAGGAGCCUUCAGAAGCAGCACCCAGAUGCACUGUUUGGAUGGACUCCUGCACCACACUCCUUCCCAGCUUGGGGCUGCUGCCCUGACUAGAAUACCCUCCCCCUCCUCCAAGUGGUGAAAUAUAGAUCACUGAAAUAUAGAUCAUUCUCAGCAUCCCACCACCUACAGAUUUAUUUGCUACAUCCUUUCAACUAAUGGAGUGUUUCUCCAAGUGUGGUCACCAGAUCAUCAUCAUCAUCAUCAUCAUCAUCAUCAUCAUCAUCAUCAUCAUCACCAUCACCUGGGAACUUGAUAAACAGGAAAAUUCUGGGGCCUCACUGCAGACCUACUGAAUGAGAUUCUCCAGGGCAGAGCCCAGCCAUCUGAUUUAACAGGAGCUCCCAGGAGUGCUCAAGUGUGAGAAUCACUGCCCAACGCCUGGGGCUCUGACAUCCACGGACCCCUAUUGGUGCAUUCUCUCUCUGGAGGUAGACCUGCUAGUGAAAUGAAAUUUCCCUAAGGUGUUUGGUGGAAUCAAGGAGACUUUGAGGAAUCAAAUGAGGAAUGGCUGAUUUAGCUUGACUCAUCCUUUUCACAGUAGAAAGUCAGUGGAGGAGACUGUGCAGCGUCCACUGGAAAAGACUUUUCCUGUGAGUACUUACUUGGGAGCACACUGUCAAUAUUUGCUGCUGUAUCUCUUCAUUAAUGCCCCAUGGCUUUUAACUAACAUAUCCCUUCUUUACAUAUAUUAAUUCAGUCACAUCACCCACUGGGAGGGUCUAUUUCUCUGUAUUGUAAAUGAAGGAGUUGGCAUUCUGUCCCUCACUGGCAUGAGCUUGGAAGUUAUUUCCUUUUUGUAUUGAUUUAAAGUGUAAU